This 509-nucleotide ribosomal RNA is filed under the name uncultured bacterium. RNAcentral describes it as "bacterial SSU rRNA". It matches the Rfam family "Bacterial small subunit ribosomal RNA", at positions 40 to 557 of the family's 1533-position model. The record is from RNAcentral.
CGUACAGGCUUAACACAUGCAAGUCGAGGGGCAGCAUGAACUUAGCUUGCUAAGUUUGAUGGCGACCGGCGCACGGGUGAGUAGCACGUAUCCAACCUGCCCUGUACACACGGAUAACAUACCGAAAGGUAUGCUAAUACGGGAUAACAUAUGGAAUUCGCAUGUUUUCCAUAUCAAAGCUUUUGCGGUACAGGAUGGACCCGCGUCUGAUUAGCUUGUUGGUGAGGUAACGGCUCACCAAGGCGACGAUCAGUAGCCGACCUGAGAGGGUGAUCGGCCACAUUGGAACUGAGACACGGUCCAAACUCCUACGGGAGGCAGCAGUGGGGAAUAUUGCACAAUGGGCGCAAGCCUGAUGCAGCAACGCCGCGUGAGCGAUGAAGGCCUUCGGGUCGUAAAGCUCUGUCCUAAGGGAAGAUAAUGACGGUACCUUAGGAGGAAGCCCCGGCUAACUACGUGCCAGCAGCCGCGGUAAUACGUAGGGGGCGAGCGUUAUCCGGAUUUACUGG